Molecule: long non-coding RNA, 559 nt
Organism: Sinocyclocheilus grahami
Lineage: Eukaryota; Metazoa; Chordata; Actinopteri; Cypriniformes; Cyprinidae
Exons: 3
Source: RefSeq, a predicted model, not a curated record
GGCUCAUCCGAAAUGGGUAUGCUUUGUAGAUUAGAUCUUGGACUAGCUCUGAGCCCUGACCUUGCCAGCAACUUUGGCUUGGAUUUCUACAUGGAUGAGAUUCGGGGAGGAACGAGGCACGGAGAUUUACUUGCAUUAAUUCACCUUAAAAAAUGCAAACGGGUUUACUCGCCACAGCAACAACAGCUGCGGGUCCCGAACCUCCGUGGUGAAGGUGGAGGGAUCUUUUGUUCGUUUGUUAGUUUGCGUUUAGUAUGCAGCACAUGACUUUACAAUCAAGGAGCCCACAGUCUCAGCAUCGAAGGGUCCCGCCGAGCCGCAGUCUAAACAAGGGCCUAUCUCUGGAGGGCUCAUGGGCAAAUCAUUCCUGUUCACAGGCUUUGGGCCGACCUGCACAGCCUCUUCAGUGGGCCAGUGAGAACAUAUCCCCAGAACAUAUUACUGCCGGGGCCCCCACCUCUGUCUCUCUCACAUCCAGAGACUGCAAAAAGUGAUGAAGAAACAUACUAAAGCCACCAUCUUAACCAAAGUAGCAGCCAGAGAUUCACCUGAGAAAGAC